Molecule: RNase P RNA, 373 nt
Filed under: Salmonella enterica
Lineage: Bacteria; Pseudomonadati; Pseudomonadota; Gammaproteobacteria; Enterobacterales; Enterobacteriaceae
Description: RNase P RNA component class A
Rfam family: Bacterial RNase P class A
About the family: Ribonuclease P (RNase P) is a ubiquitous endoribonuclease, found in archaea, bacteria and eukarya as well as chloroplasts and mitochondria. Its best characterised activity is the generation of mature 5'-ends of tRNAs by cleaving the 5'-leader elements of precursor-tRNAs.
Source: RNAcentral
GAAGCUGACCAGACAGUCGCCGCUUCGUCGUCGUUCUUUCGGGGAGACGGGCGGAGGGGAGGAAAGUCCGGGCUCCAUAGGGCAGGGUGCCAGGUAACGCCUGGGGGGGAAACCCACGACCAGUGCAACAGAGAGCAAACCGCCGAUGGCCCACGUAAGUGGGAUCAGGUAAGGGUGAAAGGGUGCGGUAAGAGCGCACCGCGCGGCUGGUAACAGUCCGUGGCACGGUAAACUCCACCCGGAGCAAGGCCAAAUAGGGGUUCAUAAGGUACGGCCCGUACUGAACCCGGGUAGGCUGCUUGAGCCAGUGAGCGAUUGCUGGCCUAGAUGAAUGACUGUCCACGACAGAACCCGGCUUAUCGGUCAGUUUCAC